This 953-nucleotide ribosomal RNA is filed under the name Staphylococcus aureus. Its description in RNAcentral is "bacterial SSU rRNA". It matches the Rfam family "Bacterial small subunit ribosomal RNA", at positions 1 to 935 of the family's 1533-position model. Lineage: Bacteria; Bacillati; Bacillota; Bacilli; Caryophanales; Staphylococcaceae. The record is from RNAcentral.
UUUAUGGAGAGUUUGAUCCUGGCUCAGGAUGAACGCUGGCGGCGUGCCUAAUACAUGCAAGUCGAGCGAACGGACGAGAAGCUUGCUUCUCUGAUGUUAGCGGCGGACGGGUGAGUAACACGUGGAUAACCUACCUAUAAGACUGGGAUAACUUCGGGAAACCGGAGCUAAUACCGGAUAAUAUUUUGAACCGCAUGGUUCAAAAGUGAAAGACGGUCUUGCUGUCACUUAUAGAUGGAUCCGCGCUGCAUUAGCUAGUUGGUAAGGUAACGGCUUACCAAGGCAACGAUGCAUAGCCGACCUGAGAGGGUGAUCGGCCACACUGGAACUGAGACACGGUCCAGACUCCUACGGGAGGCAGCAGUAGGGAAUCUUCCGCAAUGGGCGAAAGCCUGACGGAGCAACGCCGCGUGGGUGAUGAAGGUCUUCGGAUCGUAAAACUCUGUUAUUAGGGAAGAACAUAUGUGUAAGUAACUGUGCACAUCUUGACGGUACCUAAUCAGAAAGCCACGGCUAACUACGUGCCAGCAGCCGCGGUAAUACGUAGGUGGCAAGCGUUAUCCGGAAUUAUUGGGCGUAAAGCGCGCGUAGGCGGUUUUUUAAGUCUGAUGUGAAAGCCCACGGCUCAACCGUGGAGGGUCAUUGGAAACUGGAAAACUUGAGUGCAGAAGAGGAAAGUGGAAUUCCAUGUGUAGCGGUGAAAUGCGCAGAGAUAUGGAGGAACACCAGUGGCGAAGGCGACUUUCUGGUCUGUAACUGACGCUGAUGUGCGAAAGCGUGGGGAUCAAACAGGAUUAGAUACCCUGGUAGUCCACGCCGUAAACGAUGAGUGCUAAGUGUUAGGGGGUUUCCGCCCCUUAGUGCUGCAGCUAACGCAUUAAGCACUCCGCCUGGGGAGUACGACCGCAAGGUUGAAACUCAAAGGAAUUGACGGGGACCCGCACAAGCGGUGG